This 496-nucleotide ribosomal RNA is filed under the name uncultured bacterium. RNAcentral describes it as "partial 16S ribosomal RNA". It matches the Rfam family "Bacterial small subunit ribosomal RNA", at positions 28 to 506 of the family's 1533-position model. The record is from RNAcentral.
GAUGAACGCUGGCGGCGUGCCUAAUACAUGCAAGUCGAGCGAACGGUCGAGAAGCUUGCUUCUCUGAUGUUAGCGGCGGACGGGUGAGUAACACGUGGAUAACCUACCUAUAAGACUGGGAUAACUUCGGGAAACCGGAGCUAAUACCGGAUAAUAUUUUGAACCGCAUGGUUCAAAAGUGAAAGACGGUCUUGCUGUCACUUAUAGAUGGAUCCGCGCUGCAUUAGCUAGUUGGUAAGGUAACGGCUUACCAAGGCAACGAUGCAUAGCCGACCUGAGAGGGUGAUCGGCCACACUGGAACUGAGACACGGUCCAGACUCCUACGGGAGGCAGCAGUAGGGAAUCUUCCGCAAUGGGCGAAAGCCUGGCGGAGCAACGCCGCGUGAGUGAUGAAGGUCUUCGGAUCGUAAAACUCUGUUAUUAGGGAAGAACAUAUGUGUAAGUAACUGUGCACAUCUUGACGGUACCUAAGCAGAAAGCCACGGCUAACUACGU